RNAcentral lists this ribosomal RNA (641 nucleotides) under uncultured bacterium. RNAcentral's name for it is "bacterial SSU rRNA". It matches the Rfam family "Bacterial small subunit ribosomal RNA", at positions 232 to 884 of the family's 1533-position model. The record is from RNAcentral.
CGCGGCCUAUCAGCUUGUUGGUGGGGUGAUGGCCUACCAAGGCGACGACGGGUAGCCGGCCUGAGAGGGUGUCCGGCCACACUGGGACUGAGAUACGGCCCAGACUCCUACGGGAGGCAGCAGUGGGGAAUAUUGCACAAUGGGCGCAAGCCUGAUGCAGCGACGCCGCGUGGGGGAUGACGGCCUUCGGGUUGUAAACCCCUUUCAGCACAGACGAAGCGCAAGUGACGGUAUGUGCAGAAGAAGCACCGGCCAACUACGUGCCAGCAGCCGCGGUAAUACGUAGGGUGCGAGCGUUGUCCGGAAUUACUGGGCGUAAAGAGCUCGUAGGUGGUUUGUCGCGUUGUUCGUGAAAACUCACAGCUCAACUGUGGGCGUGCGGGCGAUACGGGCAGACUGGAGUACUGCAGGGGAGACUGGAAUUCCUGGUGUAGCGGUGGAAUGCGCAGAUAUCAGGAGGAACACCGGUGGCGAAGGCGGGUCUCUGGGCAGUAACUGACGCUGAGGAGCGAAAGCGUGGGGAGCGAACAGGAUUAGAUACCCUGGUAGUCCGCGCCGUAAACGGCGGGUACUAGGUGUGGGUUUCCUUCCUUGGGAUCCGUGCCGUAGCUAACGCAUUAAGUACCCCGCCUGGGAGUACG